RNAcentral lists this long non-coding RNA (4143 nucleotides) under Populus trichocarpa (black cottonwood). Its description in RNAcentral is "long non-coding RNA (PTRI_LNC004023)". Lineage: Eukaryota; Viridiplantae; Streptophyta; Magnoliopsida; Malpighiales; Salicaceae. The record is from RNAcentral.
CCUCCCUUAUUUACUUGGAAAUAUUUUCAGAGACCAGCUAAAAAGCCUCAAACGGACAUUAAAUUUGGUUUUUCGACACAAGAUGCCAGACAUGUUUGCCUGAAUCAAAAACUAAAAACAAGGGGCACAAGUUCUACAUAAAAAGUCGAAGAAAAUAAGAUAAAACAUUCUAAAUGAAGAAAACGAGUAAUGAAAAAUAAAGGACAAAUAUAUUUCAGCGAGGUCAUCAGAUAGGAGCGAAAGACUAAAAGGUUUUGUAUAAUCACAGAGAUUAUCAGUUGAACUAUGCUUGUAAUCAUCAUAUGACCAAGUUUUUUCAAUCUAAAACAGAUCUAAUACACAAACAAUAAACAAAUUGGGGGAUCAAGAUCUUAUGCAAAUCAUAUAAAAACAGGGCCUCAGAAGGAAGGCAGUAGUGGUAAGUUUGUAAUCACAGCUUCAUCAUUCGUGACAAAUAUACCAGUUCUUUCAUCAAUGGCAACAGCAUCGAAAAGAGAUAAUGAAAAACUGACAGCCAAAAACAUAGCUUAAAGCAGAAACGGGCAAGAAAUUCAUAAAAGAUUCGGCCUCAUAGAGAAGAUUAGAUUUAUCAACACACAGAGUUUCAGACAUAUGCUUGUCUUUGAAUUUUUGUUUAAUCAUCGGCCGACCAACUAUCAUGACCAAAAAGAAAGAGUAGCAGAAAAUAAGAAAAAGGGCCUCGGAAUAUAUCAGGAUGGUCGUCAAGGCCUUUAAAGAGCCAGUUACGACGAACGAGACCUUUCAAGAUGAAAUCGUCAAUGCCCCUUAAUCAUUUUCAGCCGGAAAAAAAACAUAAAUAGAUGAAAUUCCUAAGGCGACAAUACUAAGUAAAAUGAACCCUAAACCACGAAAGAACCAGAUAUUGACAAACAGGAUGCCUUGGAGACUCUUUAUAAAGAGUGGCGGUGAAGGACAAUUAGGGUUUCAGGCGGUUUUAUAGGAGCUGGGGAGAACAGAAGAACGACCAAGCGUUUUAGGUUUACUCUUCUCUGUGCAAUUUACGGCCAAAGGCCUAAGGUACACAGAACAAACGGAAGCUUAUGUUGGGCUGGCUGGGAGGGUGAAAACUUAGCAGGUCCAAACUGACUAUGUUGGCAUCUGGGAGAUUGGGCUAAGUCCAGUAGAAAUUUGUUGCCCCAUCGACUCCAUUUCAGAUUUUUAUCAGCCUUCAGGUCGUUGAUCUUGUUAGAAAAUUAUUUUAAAAUUAGGGUUAGUGGAACAAAUUAAAAAUGAGGUGCAUUAUUUUAUGAUUAAAACUUUACUAGAAAUUAUUUUUUAACAAUAAUUUUCUUAACAUAAAAUAUUAAUAUAUUUAAAAUAAAUUGUGGAUAAAUAAAAAAUUGAUCUCAAAUAAUUUUUAAUUUACAUGUUUUUAUAAAACUUAAAAUUAUCUUUAUCUAUCUCACAUCGAAAAAAUAUAAGGUUUAAGCUUGUAUAAUAAGAAGUUCAAGAAUUAAAAAUAGACCUACAAAGUACCAAAAAGUUUCAUAAAAAAAAUGAUAUGAGUAAAAUGAACUUUAGGCUUAAGUCAUGUGUAUUUGCUUGCUUGACCUAUUUAAAGUUGAGGUUGGCUAGAUCUAACUUUGUUAUAUUUUUUAGUAUUAAAUAAAUCUAAGUCUUAUAUUAUGCAAAUUAUAUUUAAUUAAACUAGUAAUCAAUACUACAAAACUCAUUUUUACUUUUAAAUAAAACUACCAAAACAGGCCUAAAAGAAUAUUCUUUAAACAGAUCCUUAAAUCAAAAAAAAAAUUAGCAAAAAGAUUGCAAGAUAAAAGAGUCUUAGCCAAACAGACUAAAGUCUAUAAAUUUAUUUAAAUUAUACUAUCAAAUAAGAUAUAAAAUUUUAUAUUUAAACAUUAAAAUAAGCUUUUUAUUCUAAUUCUUUACUUUACUCAUUUCUUUUAGACUUCUUGGUUGAUCUUUUCAUGAAAUUAGAUUUUAGUUGAUUUCUUCAUGAAAUUUACUGCAUUGCGCUUGUUAAUAUGUUUUUCAGCAUAAAAAAAAUAUUUAAAACUUACUCUUAACAAAUCAUAUUAUUAGUUUAUUUUUUAUUUUAUUGUUAUAAUUAAAGUAUAUAAAACAUGAAUGUAUACCUUUAAAAUUCAACAAAACUAAGAUUUCAUAAUUUGGCAAAUGUAAUUUCAGCCGAACUAUAAAAUGUUAAAUGUAAUUCUCUCUCUUGGCUAGGAACCCAUCCUAUUCUCCAGUAUUCUGCAUAAUCAUGUGUUCUUCGGUUUGCAACAUUCCAAAUGAAGUUUCAUAAUCCUUGAGCUUUUUGAGAUGUCAUUGUUGCUUGAUGUUGUACGACCUCCAAGGUCGCCAUGUGUACAUUCCUAGCUUGAGGAAAGACCAUCAUUAGAACUCUGCCAGUGUGACAUUUCUUUUUCAUGCCAAGAUCGGACCUUCUCAUCCUCUAUCUCACUAUUAGUUUGUUGUCAUAGCUUUACAAGACGAGUCUAUUCCUUCAUGGCAAAUUGAUCAUCUUUUUCCAACUUCUUAUCAGCACCAUAGGUUAUUCUGAGAUCGUUUUCCAAAUCCUUCACUUCGUCCAAUUUCUCUUCUGCGUUCAAAAGCUGGAGGUGAUGUUCUUCUAAAUGGGUUUGUUUAUAAAAUAUAUAUAUUUUUAAAAAAAGAACAAGCUUGUUUUGAAGUGAUUAUUCGGAUGGGACUCAGAAUAUGGGUGGUGAUAUAUCAGGAUGGUCGGCAAGGCCUUUAAAGAGCCAAUUACGACGAACGAGACCAUUGAUACAAAUCAUCAUUGCCCCUCCCUUGUUUACUUGGAAAUAUUUUCAGAAAUCAGAUAAAAAGCCUCAAACGGACAUCACAUUUGGUAUUUCAACAAAAAAAGAUGCCAGACAUGCUUGUCUGAAUCAAAAUCUAAAAUCAAGGGGCACGAGUUCUACAUAAAAAGUCGCAGAAUUUAAGAUAAAACACUCAAAUUGAAGAGAACGGAUAAUAAAUGAAAAGGGAUAGAUAUAUUUCAACGAGGUCAUCAGAUAGGACCGAAAGACACCGAAAGACUAAAAGGUUUUGUAAUAAUCACAGAGAUUAUCAGUUUGUGAUCACAGCUUCAUCAUUCGUGACAAUAUACCAGUUCUUUCAUCAAUGGCAACAGCAUCGAAAAGAAAUUAUGAAAAACUGACAACCAAAAACAUAGCUUGAAGCAGAAACGGGCAAGAAAUUCAUAAAAGAUUCGGCCUCAUAGAGAAGAUUAGAUUUAUCAACACACAUAGUUUCAGACAUAUGCUUGUCUUUGAAUUUUUGUUUAAUCAUCGGCCGAACAACUUCCAAAACAAAAAGAAAAAUAAGAAAAAGGGACUCGGCCAGUGUGAAAUUUCUUUUUCAUGCCAAGAUCGGACCUUCUUAUCCUCUCUUUUUAACUUGUCUAUCUCAUAAUUAGUUUGUUGCCAUAGCUAUAAGACGAGACCAUUCCUUAAUUACUUGGAAAUUGAUAAUCUUUUAACAAAAUAUUAGCGCCAUAGGUUAUUCUGAGAUCUUUUUCCAAAUCCUCCACCUCCUCCAAUUUCUCUUCUGCAUUCACAAGCUGGAGGUGAUGUUCUUCUAAAUGGGUUUGUUUAUAAAAAACCAAAAAAGAACAAACUUUUUAAGAAGUCAUUAUUCGGAUGGGACUCAGAAUAUGGGUGGUGAUAUAUCAGGAUGGUCGGCAAGGCCUUUAAAGAGCCAAUUACGACGAACGAGACCAUUGAUACAAAUCAUCAUUGUCCCUCCCUUAUUUACUUGGAAAUAUUUUCAGAGACCAGCUAAAAAGCCUCAAACGGACAUUAAAUUUGGUUUUUCGACACAAGAUGCCAGACAUGUUUGCCUGAAUCAAAAACUAAAAACAAGGGGCACAAGUUCUACAUAAAAAGUCGAAGAAAAUAAGAUAAAACAUUCUAAAUGAAGAAAACGAGUAAUGAAAAAUAAAGGACAAAUAUAUUUCAGCGAGGUCAUCAGAUAGGAGCGAAAGACUAAAAGGUUUUGUAUAAUCACAGAGAUUAUCAGUUGAACUAUGCUUGUAAUCAUCAUAUGACCAAGUUUUUUCAAUCUAAAACAGAUCUAAUACACAAACAAUAAACAAAUUGGGGGAUCAAGAUCUUAUGCAAAUCAUAUAAAAACAGGGCC